AGUGAACGCUGGCGGUAGGCCUAACACAUGCAAGUCGAACGGCAGCACAGUAAGAGCUUGCUCUUACGGGUGGCGAGUGGCGGACGGGUGAGGAAUACAUCGGAAUCUACUCUUUCGUGGGGGAUAACGUAGGGAAACUUACGCUAAUACCGCAUACGACCUACGGGUGAAAGCAGGGGAUCUUCGGACCUUGCGCGAUUGAAUGAGCCGAUGUCGGAUUAGCUAGUUGGCGGGGUAAAGGCCCACCAAGGCGACGAUCCGUAGCUGGUCUGAGAGGAUGAUCAGCCACACUGGAACUGAGACACGGUCCAGACUCCUACGGGAGGCAGCAGUGGGGAAUAUUGGACAAAGGGCGCAAGCCUGAUCCAGCCAUACCGCGUGGGUGAAGAAGGCCUUCGGGUUGUAAAGCCCUUUUGUUGGGAAAGAAAAGCAGCAGGUUAAUACCCCGCUGUUCUGACGGUACCCAAAGAAUAAGCACCGGCCAACUUCGUG
RNAcentral lists this ribosomal RNA (492 nucleotides) under uncultured bacterium. RNAcentral describes it as "partial 16S ribosomal RNA". It matches the Rfam family "Bacterial small subunit ribosomal RNA", at positions 29 to 507 of the family's 1533-position model. The record is from RNAcentral.